This 367-nucleotide ribosomal RNA is filed under the name uncultured bacterium. RNAcentral describes it as "bacterial SSU rRNA". It matches the Rfam family "Bacterial small subunit ribosomal RNA", at positions 524 to 898 of the family's 1533-position model. The record is from RNAcentral.
UACGUAGGUGGCAAGCGUUAUCCGGAAUUAUUGGGCGUAAAGGGUGCGUAGGCGGUUGAUUAAGUUUUAGGUGAAAGCGUGGGGCUCAACUCCAUACAGCCUAAGAAACUGGUCAACUAGAGUGCAGAAGAGGGUAGUGGAAUUCCAUGUGUAGCGGUAAAAUGCGUAGAUAUAUGGAGGAACACCAGUGGCGAAGGCGGCUACCUGGUCUGUAACUGACGCUCAAGCACGAAAGCGUGGGGAGCAAAUAGGAUUAGAUACCCUAGUAGUCCACGCCGUAAACGAUGGAUACUAAGUGUUGGGGAAACUCAGUGCUGCAGUUAACGCAAUAAGUAUCCCGCCUGGGGAGUAUGCACGCAAGUGUGAA